Long non-coding RNA from Myzus persicae (green peach aphid), 1238 nucleotides. RefSeq lists it as uncharacterized. The record is from RefSeq and is a predicted model, not a curated record. Lineage: Eukaryota; Metazoa; Arthropoda; Insecta; Hemiptera; Aphididae. The transcript has 3 exons.
ACAAAAAGUGUUCUUUAUUUGAUGUAUGUAAUUAUGAGAGGGGAGACCCGAAAAAUUGAAAAUAGCCCCCCCCUUGAUGUUUCAUCAAAACCGCCACUGCAACCCACCCAUCGUAAUACGACUAUUAACGACCACACAAUAAAAAACUUUCCGAAUCAAUAUGAUAAGGAAUCGGAGCGCUGACAUAACUCAGUAAAACCAGGACAUAGAGUAAUAUAGGUAUUAGUACUAUAGUAGGGCCUAUAUAGGUUCCUUAUUCCGAAGUCCGAACAAUCGCAUACUUCCUCGGUGCGGCCAGGCGUACGACACUCCGUGAAUUGGUCGGGACGGGCGAUUGGGGCCCUGAAAAUGGUAUCUAGAGAUAAAGUAAACGAAAUCUGAAUAAUGAAUACUGAAUGGUAAACAAGCCGACCCCGCGCAGCGUACCCAGCCUACGUGGAAGUGAACGUUUACAUAAUACCAGUAUACCACUUUGGGUCUAACAUCAUAUUGGUAAACGUUUCCUUGUUUUUCGGAGGUUCAGACAUCAGAUCAUAGCCCAUAGGUAAACAAGACCCCAACCAGCUGAUCGCGUGUCGCUUCUAUAUUGUUCUAUUGUGCGGCAGAACCGUCGCGCGUCGCUGCAUUAUCUCGCAUUUUUAUCUUUAUCAUUAUCGUUGUUGUUUAUCCGAAAAAUUGUAAGCGGUUUAACUUUCUUUUCUCGAUUUUUUGCCUUCUCAACCUUUCUUAUUCGCCCCUACUGCUACGUUCGUUUUAAUUAUUCUUUUAAAACCCGCGGAUGUGCGGCUCACAACCUAUCCUGGUAAUAGCGUUCACAAACCGAUCGUCUUCAAAUCAGUCGUCUUCGUAAGCAUCGCCGUUUGUUACAACAUGGAUUUAAUAAACCUUUAUUUUUUCAUAAGAAAUGUUGCUGAAUACACUGUACUAGACACAAGUGUAGUAUUUAAAAUUUCAUCGAAAAGUUAUGGUUACAAAUUACGAGAAAACUUUCUGAAACAAUAUUGGAAAAAUCACGUUAAACACAAAUUGUAGCUACUACCUCAUCAUGUAGCAAUCAAGAAAUGUUGUACAAUAUUGAUAACAGUUCAAACUUUUCACAGGAACCCAAUGUACAAAUGUUCAGUAGCACUUAUAUGUCAAACAUUGAAAAGGUUAUAGUGGAAAAAAAUUUAAUCACUGCAAUUCAUUGAUCCACUCAUUUAAUUUACUUACAAAUUAUAUCAAAGUAUGCUUUGCUG